Molecule: ribosomal RNA, 396 nt
Filed under: Calisoga longitarsis
Lineage: Eukaryota; Metazoa; Arthropoda; Arachnida; Araneae; Nemesiidae
Description: partial 16S ribosomal RNA
Rfam family: Bacterial large subunit ribosomal RNA
Source: RNAcentral
UGCUCCAUGAGAAAUAAAUAGCCGCAAAAUCUGUGCUAAGGUAGCAAAAUCAUUUGCCUUUUAAUUAAAGGCCCGUAUGAAGGGUUUUACAUAUUGAUUUCUUUAUUAUUACGAAAAUUUUAAAUUAACCUUUAAGUAAAAAGACUUAAAUAAAAAAGAAAGACGACAAGACCCUGACAAACUUUACACUAAUGUUUUACUGGGGCGGUACAAAAACCACAUCUUUUUUCACAAAUAAAACAAAUAUUUUACCAACCAAGUUACUGCAGGGAUAACAGCAUAAUUUUUUCUUAGAGUCCUUAUCAAAGAAAAAGAUUGUGACCUCGAUGUUGAAUAAUGUAACUCAUAAGAGCACCCCCUUAUCUAGUAAGUCUGUUCGACUUUUAAUACAUUACA